AGGGCUAUAGCCAAACGGUAAGGCAGCGGACUCUGACUCCGUCAUUUCAAGGUUCGAAUCCUUGUAGCCCUG
Molecule: transfer RNA, 72 nt
Filed under: Lachnospiraceae bacterium
Lineage: Bacteria; Bacillati; Bacillota; Clostridia; Lachnospirales; Lachnospiraceae
Also listed under: 2 other names
Description: tRNA-Gln
Rfam family: tRNA
About the family: Transfer RNA (tRNA) molecules are approximately 80 nucleotides in length. Their secondary structure includes four short double-helical elements and three loops (D, anti-codon, and T loops).
Source: RNAcentral